This 231-nucleotide long non-coding RNA is filed under the name Manihot esculenta (cassava). RNAcentral describes it as "long non-coding RNA (MESC_LNC009459)". The record is from RNAcentral. Lineage: Eukaryota; Viridiplantae; Streptophyta; Magnoliopsida; Malpighiales; Euphorbiaceae.
CUUUCUUUUAUUUCAUGCUUUCAUGAAAUGCGUCAUAUCACAACGAAUACACAUCAAACAUUUCUUCCCCGCUUGAGUUCACGCUAGCAAUCUCUUCCUCUUGCGGGUGAUUUUAGAGGGUUCUCGAAACGUCCUUCCCCUCAGGGUUAGACAUGACCCCAACAUUCCCUCUGUCAAAACUUGGCCCCGAAGGAGCUCUCAUAGGGCUUUCCUACAUGUACUUGCCCGACU